This 253-nucleotide ribosomal RNA is filed under the name uncultured bacterium. RNAcentral describes it as "partial 16S ribosomal RNA". It matches the Rfam family "Bacterial small subunit ribosomal RNA", at positions 524 to 776 of the family's 1533-position model. The record is from RNAcentral.
UACGUAGGGUGCGAGCGUUGUCCGGAAUUACUGGGCGUAAAGAGCUCGUAGGUGGUUUGUCGCGUUGUUCGUGAAAACCGGGGGCUUAACCCUCGGCGUGCGGGCGAUACGGGCAGACUUGAGUACUGCAGGGGAGACUGGAAUUCCUGGUGUAGCGGUGGAAUGCGCAGAUAUCAGGAGGAACACCGGUGGCGAAGGCGGGUCUCUGGGCAGUAACUGACGCUGAGGAGCGAAAGCGUGGGGAGCAAACAGG